UUAGUUGCUGUUUCAUGGUCUUCAAUUUAUUCCAUAUCUGCUGCAUAGGUGUUCCUUCACAUUCCUGUCUCCAGACCUGUUGUAGUAUGGUUUGAAACUGAGGACUCUCCAUAAUAGUAAGAUAAAUCUGAAAGGCUUAGGAUGCAGAAGUCUUUGAUCUCCAAAUUUGAUAAGAACAGGAGAGUGAUCAGAAACUAGUGGAUUCAUGAAGUCAGCUUCUAGGUGUCCAUGUUGUUGUAUCCACUGGAAGUUGCCCAAUGCCCAAUCAAUCUUGCUAUAGACCCUAGUUGUAGUACUCUGCUUGUUAGUCCAAGUGUAAUGCCACCCUUUAACUCUAAGAGGAGUGAGUUGAAGGUCAAAAAUGACAUCUUUAAAGCCUUUAACUUCAAUAUCAGUAACAGGAGA
This 405-nucleotide long non-coding RNA is filed under the name Nicotiana benthamiana. Its description in RNAcentral is "long non-coding RNA (NBEN_LNC013010)". The record is from RNAcentral. Lineage: Eukaryota; Viridiplantae; Streptophyta; Magnoliopsida; Solanales; Solanaceae.